AUGGGCGGCGCGACUGGAGCUUGCAGGGGGCGGAUCCGCGCACGGCGGGGGCUUGGAGGCGGAUCCGGAGGUGGGCGGCGACGCGGGGGGCGAGGAAGGCCGGAGCGCGGCUUCCCGGGCGGAUCCAUGGCAGAGAAGAGACUGGGUGGUGAGGUUGAGAAGAAGGGAGAAAAGUGGGGCGGUGCGGCGACCCACGCAGGAGCUCGCCGGAGCCGGGUGACGAUGGACGGGCGCGGGAGACAGAAGGAUCCGGCGCGGCGGCGCGCACUCCUUGUAGUUGGAGGCGGGCCUUCAUGGCCGCGGCGCCCCUCCCCCCGCGACAGCUCAGGCAGCGGUCAGAUCCGCCCUCCCUCCCUCCCUCACUCCUCGCACUGGAAGACCUAG
This 384-nucleotide ribosomal RNA is filed under the name Triticum aestivum (bread wheat). RNAcentral describes it as "partial small subunit ribosomal RNA". Lineage: Eukaryota; Viridiplantae; Streptophyta; Magnoliopsida; Poales; Poaceae. The record is from RNAcentral.